This 200-nucleotide ribosomal RNA is filed under the name uncultured bacterium. Its description in RNAcentral is "partial 16S ribosomal RNA". It matches the Rfam family "Bacterial small subunit ribosomal RNA", at positions 8 to 213 of the family's 1533-position model. The record is from RNAcentral.
AGAGUUUGAUCCUGGCUCAGGACGAACGCUGGCGGCGUGCCUAAUACAUGCAAGUCGAGCGAGGGUCUUCGGACCCUAGCGGCGGACGGGUGAGUAACACGUAGGCAACCUGCCCAUAAGACUGGGAUAACAUAGGGAAACUUAUGCUAAUACCGGAUAGAGUCUACUCUCGCAUGAGAGAAGACGGAAAGGUGGCGCAA